CCUCUAUAAAACACAAACUUUGAGCCAGAGAGUCAUUACGACUCCCGAUCAACAGCAGGAACAAACUCAGCACAGCCCUAACAUGACAGACAAGGAACCUAACAAAGGCAGCAGUGGUUGGCUUGAGGAACCAGGCGGUGUCUGAUUCAGGUCCACACAGACAGACCUCCUGGACUCGAGCCUGGCGGAGCUUGUUUACAGAGCAGGUUGUGUUCGGGGCAAUGCGUCGCCGGGGCAACCACCCUGCUGAACUUUUGUUUCCACGUGUUGCCUUCGAUGAACGCAGCAGCAGCAGCAGCAGCAGCGGCGGCGGUAGUAGUCACGAGGAGGAACAAAGCCCGCCAAACUUCAGCGGCCAAUCAGGAGCCGAGGAAGGAGGAGUCGAGCGAGCAGCAGGAAAACAGCAGCAGCUGGUGGAGUGUGUGUGUGUGUGUGUGUGUGUGUGUGGGUGGUCACACACUGUAAAAAAUGACACAGCAGGUAUGUUAGAUUCAAUGUUUUCAUUUUGUGUUGGUGUAUUGAUUCAAACACUUAUUCACAACAAUAAUCACACACGAUCAGACUUAAAUACUGAGCGCUUGUUUAUGUUUUUAAUCAAACCAGCUUUUUAAUUUUCUAAUUUCUGAUGUGAUCUCCCCAAAAACAAAAUAUAUCAGUAUUUCUAUACAAAAUGAACAAUUUCAGUCCCUAACACAGACCCCUGAGGUACUCCGUAACUAAUAUCUAAGAGUUUUGAACGUUUGUUGUGAAGACAGGACUCCUAAAAUACCGUGUGCAGCCGUUAGAUGAAGUAAAUAGGUUCCAUGCACAAGAUAACUGCCAACAUAAACAUUUAAAACACAUUUAAUGUGUAAAUGA
Molecule: long non-coding RNA, 858 nt
Organism: Larimichthys crocea (large yellow croaker)
Lineage: Eukaryota; Metazoa; Chordata; Actinopteri; Sciaenidae
Exons: 3
Source: RefSeq, a predicted model, not a curated record